GUGAAUUCCAUGUAAGGGGACCCGCAGUGUAUGUAGAUAGAAGUAGCUCAUUCUAAGGAGAUAAAAACAUAACGCUUCAUAAUCCUCCAAAAAACUACACAUUGGACCUUUAAUUCUUUAUGAAAUUCUAUAACAUGAUACUUAUUGAAAGUUGGAUACUAUUUCAACUGGAUUACUGUACAGUUUUACUUGAAAACCAGAGAGUAUUUCUGAUUUCCCAACAAAAACAACAAGAAGCGAGAAAGGCAUAACUGUGGGAAGAGAAGCAAACAACAGAUGAAACGACUUCAUUCUGCUGGUGACAUCGUAAAAAAAGAAUCAACCACAUACAUUUUGAAGAGAAGAAUGAGCGUGCGUGAGCUCCAUGUGCCCUCCGCUCUUGGCAUGCUGUUUUCCUGGAACUCCUAAACUCGAGAAGGAGCCCUCAGGAGCCGGGCCUUCGGGUCUAGCGGUUCCCCGAGGUUAAUAUUCAACAAGUCCAC
Long non-coding RNA from Triplophysa dalaica, 482 nucleotides. RefSeq lists it as uncharacterized. The record is from RefSeq and is a predicted model, not a curated record. NCBI's taxonomy places the organism in Eukaryota, Metazoa, Chordata, Actinopteri, Cypriniformes, Nemacheilidae. The transcript is spliced from 3 exons.